Non-coding RNA from Peromyscus maniculatus bairdii (prairie deer mouse), 2524 nucleotides. Lineage: Eukaryota; Metazoa; Chordata; Mammalia; Rodentia; Cricetidae. The record is from RefSeq and is a predicted model, not a curated record.
GUUGAGAGUCGUUAUGAGUAGACUAGUGUGCUGUGUAGUAGAGGGAAGGACAGGCGAGGUAAAAGCCCAAGUCUCUGGGCUUACCGCUGUUCAGGUGCUUUUGCGUAAAGGGUGUUCCCUUUAGCCCCUCCCCCUUUCCAUCUUCCAGUGUUGCCUGGGGCACGUUCUGCCAAGGUGACGCAACAUUGAAAAGAGCGUCAGAAGGCUGGGCUGCAGUGCGCCGUCAGCUGCACAGCCCACCACUGUGCAGGCCGGACCUCUUCCAUGUGACGGCGAUGCUGUGUGUUGAUCAUCUGCUCUGGCUCUUUCCACACGCCGAAUUCUUCAUCCCAGAAUGUUCCUUCCAAUUGGUGGUAGAGUGGCCACGCCCCCAGACAUGGGAGUCCCUCCCAAAUACCAGAGUCGAUUUUGUGAGUUUUCCAGAGUAGCUAACACUCUGAGGUUGGCUUACUAAUUCCUAACGACAAUGAACAAGUGGUCCUUGGCUAAGCCAGGUCUCAUAGCGUCUCAGAAAGUUUCAACCCAAUGGCCACAAAGUACAGGGCCACCCAUUUCUUUUACAACUGCUGGUGAACUCCCCAGACUUUCUCAAACACGGACGCAUUGACUGAAUCUCUUUGAUGGAAUAUUAAUGGUACAGAAGUACAUUCUGGAGACUUAAGAAAUACUAGGUGUUGAUAAAAACAAUAGCAUCUUGGAACACAAGCUCUCCCCUUCUUGUUGCUCAGGCACAGUCACCGGAGUUAGUGGCAUCAAAACUACUGGGCGACCAUUUGCACUCAAGAAUGUGCAGGGCGCUGAAGUGUUUUCAACAACCAGCAGCUUCCGAGGCUCCGUGAAUUCCCAGAUUACAGGUGCUUCGAAAUGCUCACACGUAAGGAACCAUAACAUGAUGCACUUAUAAAGGACUGGGCAGUUCCUUUCAGCGCACGCCUUUAAUCCCAGCACUGGGGAGGCAGAGCCAGGCAGAUCUCUGUGAGUUCGAGGCCAGCCUGGGCUACCAAGUGAGCUCCAGGAAAGGUGCAAAGCUACGCAGAGAAACCCUGUCUCGAAAACUAAAAAAAAAAAAAAAAAAGGAAAGAAAGCCUUCCCUUUGCUUGGCAGAGAUCUGAAGACAGCUGUCGUCCUGGAGCACAUCUGUAGCCUGCAGUGAGUCCUGACAGACUUGAGGAGGUGGCCGGAUGGUGAGUGCAAACUUGAACUCGUGUACGGAUCAGUGUGUCUUUGGCUUAUUCCUUCUAAAGACAUUCACAACCACUUCCACGUCUCAAGAAGAGGAAGAAAACUGCCCCGGGCGCGGGAGCAGGAAGCGGGAUACGCUUUUACGAUUUCCACGUGUGGCUUGAGUUUUCGUCUCGCUUCCACCCUAAGUAAACCGGUGACGCCUUCUCAGAGCUCAGCUUUUAUUUCUUUGUUUGAAAAGGACCUAAUAACAACCCCCUACCUCUUUCUCUCACAGCGCUCGGAAUCGUGAUAGGUGACGGAUAUCGAAGCCCCCACUUUAAAGCAGAAAUCCCCCCCCACACACACACACACAAACAUACAUGACAAGGAUGCUUUGGUUGCCUGGGAACAGAAGCAGCAGUAGCGGCUGCCCCUCCGUGCUCCUACAAAUUAUGAGAAAAAUGACCAUGGUGCUGAGACGUUAUCCUGCUUGUGUAAAUGAACAGUCAUCUCAGCAGUAAUUUGUUAAAUAGAGAAACAGAAAUCCUUUGUGAAGACAGGGGGUUUUAUAAAUGUUUGAUUUGACCCAAUCCGCUGUAGUCCUUACGGCUACCCAGCCUCCCCCUACCGCUGGCUUUAAUUGCAUGUCACUGCUAACUUCCUUGUAAAGAGACAGGCCUCUGCCAUUCCUUCUAAUUAUCCAAAUCACCAGCCACUGUGUGUGGCCUUACCUAAGGCUUUUAACCAGAAGUAAUGUCACUAAAUCAAAGUGAGUGGGAGGUGUCCCUGCCGCAAUGACUAAUAAAUGUUACAUGACAUUCUUUAAGCCCGUUGAAGCUACUCUCUCUGCGAGCCCGAGUCUAACGCGAUAACUCAUCAGUUACGAAUAUCAGAACCACAAGCCCGUAUGCAUACCACCUUUCAUUGAAGAAACACAGUGCGGAAGAGGAGACCUCACCCCCAGCCCCAGCUGUGAGAGCGCGUUUUGAAAUUCAACGUAACUAUGUAUCUGUUUCUAAAGAAAGCUACAUCAAACCCAGCUGCUAGCACACAGGUUGGGAAAAACAUCUUCAUAUACAUUAUGCAAUGUAACCUGUGUAUUCCCGUUUAUGGUUACUGUGGCCCCAGUACAGUUUGGAACACCAAGGCCUCAUGAAGGUAAGUAAUUUGUGCUACACAGCUCUAAAGACAAGCAGAGCGGGCCCGAGGAGAAGCAAGGCGCAGAGGAGGCCGGGGCAUACCUGUCUGAUUCUCUAUGUGUACAGUUACUUGAAUAUCAAGAACAUACUAUGUGCAUUUUGAAUAUUUGGAGCCGCAUAAGAAGCUGCUAAAAUACAAUAAAUAACUUGUCUUGUGAAAA